GUAGUUGUUGGUGGGGUAGGUGUAGUUGUUUUGGUUGUAGUUGUCUCUGGUGUUGUAGUGGGAGUUGUAGUUGUAGUUGUUGUAGUUGUCUCUGGAGUUGGAGUGGGAGGUGUGGUUGUUUUGGUUGUAGUUGUCUCUGGAGUUGUAGUGGGAGGUGGAGUUGUAGUUGUUGUAGUUGUCUCUGGAGUUGUAGUGGGAGGUGUAGUUGUGGUUGUAGGAGGCUUUGUAGUUGUCGGAGUGGGAGGUGUAGUUGUAGUUGUUGUAGUUGGCUCUGGAGUUGGAGUGGUAGGUGUCGGUGUAGUUGUGGUUGUAGGUGGCUUUGUAGUUGUCGGAGGUGUAGUUGUAGUUGUAGGAGGCUUUGUAGUUGUCG
Poecilia latipinna (sailfin molly) is the source of this 370-nucleotide long non-coding RNA. RefSeq lists it as uncharacterized. The record is from RefSeq and is a predicted model, not a curated record. Lineage: Eukaryota; Metazoa; Chordata; Actinopteri; Cyprinodontiformes; Poeciliidae. The transcript is spliced from 5 exons.